GCGCAUUCCUGAUGCAGCGACGCCGCGUGAGGGAUGAAGGCCUUCGGGUUGUAAACCUCUUUCAGCAGGGAAGAAGCGCAAGUGACGGUACCUGCAGAAGAAGCGCCGGCUAACUACGUGCCAGCAGCCGCGGUAAUACGUAGGGCGCAAGCGUUGUCCGGAAUUAUUGGGCGUAAAGAGCUCGUAGGCGGUCUGUCGCGUCUGGUGUGAAAACUCGAGGCUCAACCUCGAGCUUGCAUCGGGUACGGGCAGACUAGAGUGCGGUAGGGGAGACUGGAAUUCCUGGUGUAGCGGUGGAAUGCGCAGAUAUCAGGAGGAACACCGAUGGCGAAGGCAGGUCUCUGGGCCGCAACUGACGCUGAGGAGCGAAAGCAUGGGGAGCGAACAGGAUUAGAUACCCUGGUAGUCCAUGCCGUAAACGUUGGGCACUAGGUGUGGGGCUCAUUCCACGAGUUCCGUGCCGCAACAAACGCAUUAANUGCCCCGCCUGGGGAGUACGGCCGCCAGGCUNAAACUCCAAGGAAUUGACGGGGGCCCGCACAAGCGGCGGA
This 551-nucleotide ribosomal RNA is filed under the name Bacillus pichinotyi. RNAcentral's name for it is "bacterial SSU rRNA". It matches the Rfam family "Bacterial small subunit ribosomal RNA", at positions 375 to 936 of the family's 1533-position model. The record is from RNAcentral. Lineage: Bacteria; Bacillati; Bacillota; Bacilli; Caryophanales; Bacillaceae.